This is a long non-coding RNA of Nothobranchius furzeri (turquoise killifish), 1537 nucleotides long. RefSeq lists it as uncharacterized. Lineage: Eukaryota; Metazoa; Chordata; Actinopteri; Cyprinodontiformes; Nothobranchiidae. The record is from RefSeq and is a predicted model, not a curated record.
CACCCUGGGAAGAAACAAACAUAAACAAAGAGAAAAAGAAGGUUGGGUUUCAAUCAGGUUCAAAGAAGUGUUACGAUCCUCCUACACACAGCGAUCCAAACAGUUGUUUCUUUGCUUCAUGAAUCCCCGUGUGCCGAGACAACAGGUUAAAACAUGAAAAGUUAUGUCUUUCUUUUAAACAGCCUACUUUAAAGAAAUUCACACAUUAAUUAUUUAAAGGAUCUGCCUUAUGAAGCCCGUUACUCUGCAUUAACUCAACAGCAAACGUCUCUUUAGCCCUGAGCUCUGAAUUCAGUGACACGUUCUCAUCUCACUUAUUCCUUUCGUGACAUGACCUUGUCACUUCUGUGCUGAACAGAUGAGACGUCAACUGCUCCCUACGGGACUGUCAAUUUUGGUUCGAACAGACAAAGAAGAGGGAGGUUAACAUGUCACUCAUUAGUGCACGUUUUGAGUACAAGUAGUCGAGUUAGAACGCUAACAGCACUUCUGAUCACCCUGGUCUGAAAACAACCAAAAUAUGAUGCACAUUAAUUAGCAAGGCUACCGUUUAACCUCAUUAAUCUCAGACAGGGCCCACUUAGACAAGUAUACUUUUUAAUGAGGUCCGCCUAAUUUGCAUACAGGCUGUUUGCAGGAUUUUAGAGCUGCUACAUGCAUUACAACCUAACACAGUAUUAAAAUCUAAUGUGAGACUCGGAGUGGAUGAUAUGGUGUGAACGUCUAGUCUCCUUUGGCUAAAUAAAGCUUUGGCUCAAUUAUUUUGACCAGUUACAUAGAGUGAUGUGCCUGGAACGAUACAGGCCACAUGUCAAUAUACAGAGCUUAAAGUUGUGGUGCGCUCAUUUAUUCAGUACAUUUGCAGUGGUCUCUAGUAGGAAUGAACGCCUUGUAGUUGUACUCUUGGGGGGGGGGGGGACUCCGGUGCACCAGUUUCAGGAACGAGAUGUGAGCUGCAUCAGCUUCAGACGGCAGGAUUUGGAGUCUUAUUUCCUAGAUGCUUUCUCUGCCUGGAGGAGUUCUGCAGUGUGGUGGAGUUACUGAUGAUAAUGGUUAGCUUCUACUAGCCGAGACUGAUAUUCUAAGGCUGUGUCUCAAUUCAGGGUCUGCAUCCUAAAUCGGCCGGAUUCGUCGGCCGGUUACGUCACAGCGCCGCGACUAGGCCUGUCCCAAUUCGAAGACUCCUUCAAAUGCGGUCGACGAAUGCGGCCUUCUUUUCGCCUGAAUGAAGGAUGGGUCCGGUGUAUCCUUCAACAGGUAGCAUUUCCCAAGAUGCCUUGCGGGCCGGCCGGCAGAAAAACUUAAAAACAAUGGCGGACAGUGAAGCGGGAGCUGUCGGAGAGGAUUGCGCAUAUAAAUGAACAAAAGAGAAAACCAGGGAAUUUAUUAAGCUUAGGGCGGAGAUGGACCACAUGAUCACCGGAGCAAAGUAUUCGGCGGCUGUGGCAUGGAGACUAUUCUGGAGAAAAUGGGCAUCCAGGGGAAGGUGCCAGCGAUGACCAGCUUCUAGAGCUGAUCAGGGAGGACAUGAGGCUGC